UCAUGCUGAAUGGUACUAAGCACAUUCCUCUAAGCCACUAAAGCAGAAACCCGCAAAGAAGCUGAAAAUCAACUUGUCCCAAAACAUAUUAGAAGAUAAAAGCUGCCCCUUGAAAUGAAGGAAUUCCAUUCCUUCUACAUGCUCCAAAGCACUACAAUUCCAAAGGACUUUGGCCCCCCUUUCUUCCACCAAAAUCUCUCCAAUUUAAACCCACAACCACAACAUAAACUUGAUAGGGGAUGAAAUGCUAAAGGAGUCAACAGCUUUAACACUUAACCAAAUGCAAUCUAAGGAAUAUUGCUAAAGA
RNAcentral lists this unclassified non-coding RNA (307 nucleotides) under Hevea brasiliensis (rubber tree). Lineage: Eukaryota; Viridiplantae; Streptophyta; Magnoliopsida; Malpighiales; Euphorbiaceae. The record is from RNAcentral.